This 767-nucleotide ribosomal RNA is filed under the name uncultured bacterium. Its description in RNAcentral is "bacterial SSU rRNA". It matches the Rfam family "Bacterial small subunit ribosomal RNA", at positions 28 to 808 of the family's 1533-position model. The record is from RNAcentral.
GACGAACGCUGGCGGCGCGCCUAACACAUGCAAGUCGAACGAGAGAGAAGGAGCUUGCUUCUUCGAUCGAGUGGCGAACGGGUGAGUAACGCGUGAGGAACCUGCCUCAAAGAGGGGGACAACAGUUGGAAACGACUGCUAAUACCGCAUAAGCCCACGGGUCGGCAUCGAUCUGAGGGAAAAGGAGUGAUCCGCUUUGAGAUGGCCUCGCGUCCGAUUAGCUGGUUGGUGAGGUAAUGGCCCACCAAGGCGACGAUCGGUAGCCGGACUGAGAGGUUGAACGGCCACAUUGGGACUGAGACACGGCCCAGACUCCUACGGGAGGCAGCAGUGGGGAAUAUUGCACAAUGGGGGAAACCCUGAUGCAGCGACGCCGCGUGGAGGAAGAAGGUCUUCGGAUUGUAAACUCCUGUUGUUGAGGAAGAUAAUGACGGUACUCAACAAGGAAGUGACGGCUAACUACGUGCCAGCAGCCGCGGUAAAACGUAGGUCACAAGCGUUGUCCGGAAUUACUGGGUGUAAAGGGAGCGCAGGCGGGAAGACAAGUUGGAAGUGAAAUCUAUGGGCUCAACCCAUAAACUGCUUUCAAAACUGUUUUUCUUGAGUAGUGCAGAGGUAGGCGGAAUUCCCGGUGUAGCGGUGGAAUGCGUAGAUAUCGGGAGGAACACCAGUGGCGAAGGCGGCCUACUGGGCACCAACUGACGCUGAGGCUCGAAAGUGUGGGUAGCAAACAGGAUUAGAUACCCUGGUAGUCCACACCGUAAACG